RNAcentral lists this ribosomal RNA (405 nucleotides) under bacterium enrichment culture clone ALO1_GLFRUDD03GPWCV. Its description in RNAcentral is "bacterial SSU rRNA". It matches the Rfam family "Bacterial small subunit ribosomal RNA", at positions 9 to 416 of the family's 1533-position model. The record is from RNAcentral.
GAGUUUGAUCGUGGCUCAGAUUGAACGCUGGCGGCAUGCCUUACACAUGCAAGUCGAACGGCAGCACGGGAGCUUGCUCCUGGUGGCGAGUGGCGAACGGGUGAGUAAUGCAUCGGAACGUAUCCUGGAGUGGGGGAUAACGUAGCGAAAGUUACGCUAAUACCGCAUAUUCUGUGAGCAGGAAAGCGGGGGACCUUCGGGCCUCGCGCUCUUGGAGCGGCCGAUGUCGGAUUAGCUAGUUGGUGAGGUAAAGGCUCACCAAGGCGACGAUCCGUAGCAGGUCUGAGAGGAUGAUCUGCCACACUGGAACUGAGACACGGUCCAGACUCCUACGGGAGCAGCAGUGGGAAUUUUGGACAAUGGGGGCAACCCUGAUCCAGCCAUGCCGCGUGAGUGAAGAAGGCC